Sitophilus oryzae (rice weevil) is the source of this 1500-nucleotide long non-coding RNA. RefSeq lists it as uncharacterized. Lineage: Eukaryota; Metazoa; Arthropoda; Insecta; Coleoptera; Curculionidae. The record is from RefSeq and is a predicted model, not a curated record. The transcript has 2 exons.
AUGUUAAAUUUAAGAUAUCAAGAGAAAUAAAUUCUAGAAUCUAUGUCGAGGUGCACUGAAUUUAGUCAAAGAACAUGCGGUAUAUAUUGUUAAAGUAAUACCAUUAUAAUAGAGGGUAAUGUGCGUAAUGAAAAUUAAAAUCUAGAUCAUACUAUUAAAUACUAAACUGACAUAUUAUACUUGAUCACAAUAGGUAAAAUCAGUACAAGAUUGUUUUAAGACUGAAUCUAUAAAAUAUAGAUUUUUCUGAUCGAUAACCUCGUGCAAACUUGUCCUACGCAGCGACAGCGUGAGAUGGGGCCUGUAUCUCUAUACCUGUCCAGCUUCACCGUUGGCCAAGACAUUGCUUUCGAACAAAUACAGCCAUAAAUACAGCCAUAAACUACAGACUAUCUUAAACCUCAGCCUCUGUGGAACCAGUAACUCUUACAUUCCUAAGGGAAAGUAUCAUUUCUAUCCUAAGAAUGAGGCUAGGAGUAAGACAAGGAAUAGAACUAGGGAUAGGACCCUAAAAACAUGAAAUCGGCAUUCUUGCUCAAAAGAAAACGGUCCACAAACUCAUCUCGAGACAUCUCGAGGAUCUGCAGAAUAAAUAAACAUGCCCUUUCUUCUAUUAAGCAAUUUGGAGGCUGAAGAAAAGACAACGCGCCAGCAAAGUACCAAGUAUGGGUAAUUCAGGUUAAUUUAAGCCAAUCAAAAAUUCUACUUUAAAAAUACACAGUAACAAAAGUGAAUCUACGAAAGAUAAUAUCACAUCUUUACCUCUUGCGUUGAAAUUUCAGCUGAUUCAGAUUCUCCAGAAAGAAUUAAACAAUAGGCAUGUUUCAUGUUUUUCAAUUUCCAUGUAAUUAUGCAGAUUUCACCCUAAUUAGUGCUUGCUACUUAGCCUUUUUUAUAUAAAACUUAAUAUUAGGCCAAAAAAUGAGGUAAAAGUUUGAAUUUCACACUUACGCGCGCUGCGAUACGUAGCCCUCGCCAAUAUAAUUGGCUGGUUUUCGUCUCGAAAUAAACUUGGUGAAUUUUAUAAUGUUGACAGCAUUGCUGUUUAUUCAGUGUCAAAUGAAUGUUAAAAAAUUAAUUGUUCUAUUGUUGGAUAACAUUUACCAGUAACUGUAAUAAAAUGUUUUUGUACGCGCCGAGAAAGAUGGAAAAUCGUAAAUGCUGUUUUUUCAAAAAACUUCUCUUAGGCUAUGAUUGUGAUUUCAAAGCGUUUCAAAAAGGUGGGAAAAAUUAAUUUGAAAAAAAUGUAAUUCCUGAUAACUAAGAUUAAUAGUAUUCCGGAAAAUCACAGUAUUCACAGUUAUGGUAUAAAACAGGUACCUAAGCUACAAUCUAACCAUGAAAAGUAUGUCUACUAUCUGACCAAGAAAAGUUAGGAAUAUAAGGCAAUUAGAAAAAUUCUAUUGGCACCAAGAAUGUUAAUAAAUACGUUCAUGGUUAAGUUAUUUCAGAAGACUAUUAAUAAAAUACAUUGUAUAGAUAAAAUAAGGCUCUAAUGCA